Molecule: long non-coding RNA, 431 nt
Organism: Lucilia cuprina (Australian sheep blowfly)
Lineage: Eukaryota; Metazoa; Arthropoda; Insecta; Diptera; Calliphoridae
Exons: 3
Source: RefSeq, a predicted model, not a curated record
GACAAACGUACGAUGCUAUAGCAUAUCCCACAGCAUCCACGGCAUCAAUAGGAGAUGUGGAUAGUGAUUCAUAUUUAGAUCAAAUAGAGCUGAAAACAGAAUGUAAUUCCGAAGAUUUUGAUAUGCAAAAUUGUUCAACAGAAGAAACUGAUUUUCAACAGGAGUCCAUGAAAGAACCACAAGAAAAUGAACAAAAAUUAGAUAAAAAUAACAAUGAAACAGUACCUUUACCAGAUCCAGUAAUGGCUAGGAAAUAAGAAAUCAAUUCAGCUAUAAAGGAGAACCAUUUAAUGUUUUCGAUAUACUUAACAGCUGUUCAGAUGGUCAAACUGUUAUGGAAUUUUAUAAAAUUCAUAAUUUUUUAGAUAUUAAAAAUCGCAAACGUGUUGUUAAUCUUUUAAUACGUAAUGUAGUGGAGCGUAAAGUCGAAA